This 806-nucleotide ribosomal RNA is filed under the name Shigella sonnei. RNAcentral describes it as "partial 23S ribosomal RNA". It matches the Rfam family "Bacterial large subunit ribosomal RNA", at positions 394 to 1201 of the family's 2925-position model. The record is from RNAcentral. Lineage: Bacteria; Pseudomonadati; Pseudomonadota; Gammaproteobacteria; Enterobacterales; Enterobacteriaceae.
AUAUUGUGAGCUCGAUGAGUAGGGCGGGACACGUGGUAUCCUGUCUGAAUAUGGGGGGACCAUCCUCCAAGGCUAAAUACUCCUGACUGACCGAUAGUGAACCAGUACCGUGAGGGAAAGGCGAAAAGAACCCCGGCGAGGGGAGUGAAAAAGAACCUGAAACCGUGUACGUACAAGCAGUGGGAGCACGCUUAGGCGUGUGACUGCGUACCUUUUGUAUAAUGGGUCAGCGACUUAUAUUCUGUAGCAAGGUUAACCGAAUAGGGGAGCCGAAGGGAAACCGAGUCUUAACUGGGCGUUAAGUUGCAGGGUAUAGACCCGAAACCCGGUGAUCUAGCCAUGGGCAGGUUGAAGGUUGGGUAACACUAACUGGAGGACCGAACCGACUAAUGUUGAAAAAUUAGCGGAUGACUUGUGGCUGGGGGUGAAAGGCCAAUCAAACCGGGAGAUAGCUGGUUCUCCCCGAAAGCUAUUUAGGUAGCGCCUCGUGAAUUCAUCUCCGGGGGUAGAGCACUGUUUCGGCAAGGGGGUCAUCCCGACUUACCAACCCGAUGCAAACUGCGAAUACCGGAGAAUGUUAUCACGGGAGACACACGGCGGGUGCUAACGUCCGUCGUGAAGAGGGAAACAACCCAGACCGCCAGCUAAGGUCCCAAAGUCAUGGUUAAGUGGGAAACGAUGUGGGAAGGCCCAGACAGCCAGGAUGUUGGCUUAGAAGCAGCCAUCAUUUAAAGAAAGCGUAAUAGCUCACUGGUCGAGUCGGCCUGCGCGGAAGAUGUAACGGGGCUAAACCAUGCACCGAAGCU